CGCGGGGUAGAGCAGUUGGUAGCUCGUCGGGCUCAUAACCCGGAGGUCGGUGGUUCAAGUCCGCCCCCCGCAA
Molecule: transfer RNA, 73 nt
Filed under: Ruminococcaceae bacterium D16
Lineage: Bacteria; Bacillati; Bacillota; Clostridia; Eubacteriales; Oscillospiraceae
Rfam family: tRNA
About the family: Transfer RNA (tRNA) molecules are approximately 80 nucleotides in length. Their secondary structure includes four short double-helical elements and three loops (D, anti-codon, and T loops).
Source: Rfam by way of RNAcentral